GACCAUUUGUGGGUGCCAGGGGUCGACGACAAUAGUGACGACGCCGACCUCUGCCACCUAGGCGCCAUAUCGAAGCUCCGGAGUGAUACCUCGGCGUCAUCUAUAUUAGACGAGACGUAUAAUAUCGGCGCCAAUAGUGAUGACACCGAGGUAAGGAUCCAUUUUCUAAAUUCAAACUGAAAAGUGCAUAAUUAUGAGAAACUUUUAAAAAACUAAAAAGCAAAAAAAAUCCCCUACUUCACCCCAUCCGUCGUCACAUCGCUUCGGCAUGACAUCAUAGCAGAUUGUAGUAACAGGAUGAAAUCCAAUCGCUCCAUUACUUCAAACAUGAACUGUAAUGGUGUCUGCAUGUCAAGUGUUUGUCAAAAUGACUAUAUGAAAUAUAUGGGCAAGGGUCAACAGAUUCACCCAUCAGUUAGUCCAUGUCAUGUUCAAAAUACGUCAGUUUGAUUCUUAUCAUUUUAACCUAUUCCAUUUUUAUAAUAUAUUUUGAUGAAUCUGAAUAUAAGAUUUUCUUUAUGGUUCAUGCUUUCUCUGAAUCUUUAGAAUUGUAUGCAUUUGUGUCAGAAGUAAGACCGACUUAUUUUGUGAAAGGAUAGAGGACUAUCAAAUACUAAGACACUUUAUACACUUAUCAAGAGUUUGUCGUCGGAUACGAGUGCAGUGACUCCUCCUACUGCUUCUUUGAAGAAGACAAAGGCUGCUCCAAACACGCAGAAAUCUUACCUUUAGGUUGAAGGCUACAACUAUGCAAGGCAAAUAAAAUUUUAAGGCAAAAGAUUGUUAAGGAUCAGUUCCUCGAUCUUGUUAGUGUUUGAAACAGAAGCGCGCUCAGUUUACAAAAAGCUCUACAGCAUUUACAAAACUACACUCAAAUCCAAGAGUUCAAAAAAAUGAGGUGAAUCUAACAAAUAAAUGAGGUGAAUCAGGUUGCCCAGUUGAGGAUCAUCAUAAAACCAAAAUUCUGCAGUGGUGUUGGGCCAUUAUGCACUGCACAACAGGUGGAAGAUUACAUUGCAACUCCAAAACCUAAUGGGUACCAAAGUCUACACACAAUAGUGAUACCAUUUGUUCCAUUUGGAAGUUCAGAUAAGAACAGAAGAUAUGGAUUUAAUAGCAGGAAGAGGCAUUGUUGCACAUACAGUGGACGAGGGGUAGCUUUGACCUGUUCGGCUUGGAAUAUCAAGCGGGAGAAAUGCCAUGGGGAACAUAAUAUGCUUGAACAACACAGGCUUUGCUGUAAGGGUUGGUUACCUCAAUGCAAUCCACGAGGGGCGAGAAGAGUUAUUUGUUGGUAAUAUGAGUUCUAGAGAAUUUGUUGAUACUAUCACCAGAGAUCUUCUAGGAAGCCGUGUCUUUGUGUUUACUCCUAAAGGCAAGGACAGCCUCAAUCCAGGAAGAAGAGACAAGAUUCAUCUGCAAUUCUGCAUCUUCAAUGUCUAGGAUAUUCUAACAUCUUAGUUUACAUGUUUUGUCAGUCAUGGCACGUGACAUUUAGGUAUAUUUGACUUGGGAUACUCAAGAUUUUGGUAACUAAGCGGCGUAACAGUACACACUUAAGGUGCUUCCCACCGUCUGCAGGCUGACAACAAAGGAUAGUAGCGGAGCUAGAUUGCUUUGCUGUUGUCUCCCUGUUUUUUGUUAGAAGUGGAUUUGUUCUUGCUUCAUUUUUGGGACAGUUGAAGUGCAUCUAGACUCUCUAGAGACAGUUGUGUUGCUAGAAUCACGACCAAAAGUAUUGGUCCAAUAUUAGGUGUCUGCUUGCUCAUGUAGACGGUAUUGGUAGAACUACUGAAGUUGGUUUCAAGAUUAGUGCAACGGUGACAUCAACCAAGCGCACGAGUUGCGGUUUUUUCUGAAAUCAUUUGAAUUAUGGACAGUGAAAGGAUACCCCCCUUGUUGGCUC
Molecule: long non-coding RNA, 1906 nt
Organism: Zea mays
Lineage: Eukaryota; Viridiplantae; Streptophyta; Magnoliopsida; Poales; Poaceae
Exons: 9
Source: RefSeq, a predicted model, not a curated record